RNAcentral lists this long non-coding RNA (1140 nucleotides) under Betta splendens (Siamese fighting fish). RNAcentral's name for it is "lncRNA (ENSBSLG00000026346.1)". Lineage: Eukaryota; Metazoa; Chordata; Actinopteri; Anabantiformes; Osphronemidae. The record is from RNAcentral.
GGUGAUGCUGGAGCUCCUGGAAAGUCUAUUGAAAUGAAGGACAUUGAAGAGAUGUUUGAAGCAUAUGGAAUAAGGCUUCCUUUGCUGAAGGCUUUGAUUGACAGACUGCUGCAGGACGGAAUAGAGGAGCUGCUUCAUGUGCUCGGCACGACCAAGAAGGCAAAGGAAAACACAGACAGUCACACCUCCAACAUCAUCACAGAGUACACAAGUUCAGUGAAGUUUGACCUCACCAGCCAGCCUUCGUCUGACUUGGGCACCAUUGAAGAUGCAGCUUUAGAUUUUUCAGAGUCUUUGUCUAUUGAGCCUUUAAAUGAAACUGAAGAGGGUCCGACUUUAUGGACCGUCACUGCACUGAAUGGAGAGCAAGGGCUUGACAAGACUGAAACCAAAUUAAGGGGAUCCAGAAGGAAGGAGAUGGGGCCUUCACUCAAACUUAACCUAACUGUAGUCAAUACUACUUUUAAUUAUACUAUGAUGGAGGAGACGGUUUCAGGUUUACCUGGACCUGUGGUGGAAACUGUUCUUCUCACUCACGAAGAGUCUCUGACUAAGAAUGCGGGACAGAAGAAGAACAGGGAGCGUGGGAAGGCCAAAGGAAAUAAAGGACGACAUAAGAGGCAGAGACAGCGCCUGACAAGUGAAGGUGACAAGCAAGAAGAAGAGGAAGAGGAGGAGUUUUAUAACGGUGAAGAACUCAGUUAUGAGUAUGAGCAGGAGGAACCCUCCCCAGACGACCCCGCAGCCUCCACACAGCUUGAAGCCUUAACAGAUGGGUCCCUUCGUCUCGUGGAUAAAAAGGUGAACAUUAAUAAUAUGGUAGCCCACGGAAUAGUAAAAACUCAUUUACUGUGUCAGAACUAUGCUAUGAUGGACGAGCGGCUGAGACAGCUGAGCUCUGUUAGUCACUGCUCUGUUGUACCUGAGGAAAGCGGCACAUCUUGUCCUGUGUGCUGCUUUAGGAGGACGAAGUAUCCACACACAGUCCCAUCCAGAGAGAAACAUCAGCAGGAGCCUCCAGUCGUCCUGUGGCUUUACUCGCAGAAAGUGAAGCACCUGCAAAGGAUGAAGUGUCGCUGGCAACACCUCCCAUCACAACAGAGGAACCAGACGAGGUGCCUCGGUCUCAGUUCAGGGUGA